UCUCAUAACAUUAGGAAAAGAAGAGUUCCAAAAGCUGAGACAAGAUCUUGAAAUGGUACUGUCCACUAUGGAGUCAAAGAAUGAAAAGUUAAAGGAAGACUUAGAAAGGGAACAACGGUGGUUGGAUGAACAGCAACAGAUAAUGGAAUCUCUUAAUGUACUACACAGUGAAUUGAAAAAUAAGGUUGAAACAUUUUCUGAAUCAAGAAUCUUUAAUGAGCUGAAAACUAAAAUGCUCAAUGUAAAAGAAUAUAAGGAGAAACUCUUGAGUACCUUGGGCGAGUUUCUAGAAGACCAUUUUCCUCUGCCUGAUAGAAGUGUUAAAAAGAAAAAGAUGGAGUCUCCCUCUGUUGCCCAGGCUGGAGUGCAGUGGCAUGAUCUCGUCUCGCUGCAACCUCUGCCUCCCAGGUU
RNAcentral lists this small RNA (411 nucleotides) under Pongo abelii (Sumatran orangutan). RNAcentral's name for it is "processed transcript". The record is from RNAcentral. Lineage: Eukaryota; Metazoa; Chordata; Mammalia; Primates; Hominidae.